This 221-nucleotide long non-coding RNA is filed under the name Manihot esculenta (cassava). RNAcentral's name for it is "long non-coding RNA (MESC_LNC003990)". The record is from RNAcentral. Lineage: Eukaryota; Viridiplantae; Streptophyta; Magnoliopsida; Malpighiales; Euphorbiaceae.
GGGAAAGAGAAGAAGAAGAGAGAGUGGCUAGGGAGGAGGCUCAGAGUAGAGAUGAAAGUAUGGGUAUCGGACGGUCAGAAGAAGGUAUGGGGGAGUCCCAGGGAGGCGUACAGGCCUCGGGGUUUGGCUAUCCACCCUUUCACCAGGGCCCAGGGUAUCCGAUGGGAGGCACGUCGGAUUACUCCAGCUUUGCUCCAUAUCCACCCUACAUGCCAUAUAUG